AAACAAACUGAGAGACUUUUCCAAAGGAAUCAGUUAGGUGUCUGCAGCGAAGCUUUGGGUGCAACUAGGCCUCGAGCUGCCCGUGAUGUCAAGAUAAAGCGUGACUUACUAACCAUCCCAAGGAUAUUGUAUGAAAGAAUAUAAGAGAAAAGUUAAACUCUAUGUGACAAAAAAUUGUGAGGAAGCUUGCAAGAUUGCAGCCACCUAUAUUCUCAAUUGGCAGGGAAGCUGAGAAGAGAAGAUGACGAGCUGUUUGUGGGCUUCCAGCAGAAGAAGCCAGACUUUGAUUAAGGAAAUAAGUGAUAUAUCAGCUGUUUGUGUGAUCUUUUAAAUUUGAUGUAUUUUCGAGAAUUGCUAUUUUUCUUUCUAUCGUCAUGAUAAAGAUGAGAAUAUCUUUAAAAAAAAUAUUUAUUAAUAUCGAAAACCU
Long non-coding RNA from Raphanus sativus (radish), 427 nucleotides. RefSeq lists it as uncharacterized. Lineage: Eukaryota; Viridiplantae; Streptophyta; Magnoliopsida; Brassicales; Brassicaceae. The transcript is spliced from 4 exons. The record is from RefSeq and is a predicted model, not a curated record.